Girardinichthys multiradiatus is the source of this 411-nucleotide long non-coding RNA. RefSeq lists it as uncharacterized. Lineage: Eukaryota; Metazoa; Chordata; Actinopteri; Cyprinodontiformes; Goodeidae. The record is from RefSeq and is a predicted model, not a curated record. The transcript is spliced from 2 exons.
AACGCAGUCGACAGGGAGGCAAACACAUCCGCCUUAUCACUACCUAGGUCUGGGUUUUACUGCGGGAGGGGGAAGUGGGUCCAAGUCCAGGUGUCUUCACAGCUGGGCACAAGAAGGUCUGAAGGCUGGACACGCAUAGCUCGCUCACUGUUCCCAUAGCCUCAGAGGGGGAUUCUGUAUCUGGGUGUGAAGUCUCCGUUAGUGGCCAAGCUGCUCCUUCGACACGCCGCUCAGUUUGAAGGAAAGGGGAAGCUCAGAAAACCUUGAAACUCUGCUGCGACUGUUGACAGUAGUAACUCCUUGUUGAAGAGAGACUCCCAGCUGUUUCUGAGUCACUUUGCUUCAUUAAAUGACCGAGUCUCAUGACUUCUCUGCUUUUUCUGGCAAAGAAUAAAAAUGUCUCACACUCAC